UAAUGCGAAAAUAAUAGGAAAAAAAAAAGAAUCUGAUACUAGCAAAAUGAAAAGGAAAAAGAAACUCAAAAAUCACCUCUUGAUAUUUUUUCUUUUGUAUUCUGAAUGUGUGUAUUGAAUGCGUAACUUUUUUACAGCGUUCGAAUGGCUUUCUUAUAGCCCGAUUUACAGAAAAUAAAAUGAAAAAAAUAAAAAUUUC
This 199-nucleotide long non-coding RNA is filed under the name Gossypium raimondii (Peruvian cotton). RNAcentral's name for it is "long non-coding RNA (GRAI_LNC009316)". Lineage: Eukaryota; Viridiplantae; Streptophyta; Magnoliopsida; Malvales; Malvaceae. The record is from RNAcentral.